CGUCGAGUGGCGAACGGGUGAGUAACACGUGGGUGAUCUGCCUUGCACUUCGGGAUAAGCCUGGGAAACUGGGUCUAAUACCGGAUAGGACCAUGCUUUAGUGUGUGUGGUGGAAAGUUUUUCGGUGCAAGAUGAGCCCGCGGCCUAUCAGCUUGUUGGUGGGGUAAUGGCCUACCAAGGCGACGACGGGUAGCCGGCCUGAGAGGGUGUACGGCCACAUUGGGACUGAGACACGGCCCAG
RNAcentral lists this ribosomal RNA (241 nucleotides) under uncultured Actinomycetales bacterium. RNAcentral describes it as "partial 16S ribosomal RNA". It matches the Rfam family "Bacterial small subunit ribosomal RNA", at positions 89 to 334 of the family's 1533-position model. Lineage: Bacteria; Bacillati; Actinomycetota; Actinomycetes; Actinomycetales. The record is from RNAcentral.